RNAcentral lists this long non-coding RNA (1598 nucleotides) under Equus asinus (donkey). Its description in RNAcentral is "lncRNA (ENSEASG00005030103.1)". The record is from RNAcentral. Lineage: Eukaryota; Metazoa; Chordata; Mammalia; Perissodactyla; Equidae.
ACCCAGAGGGGGAAAAAUGAAUUCUUUUCUGAAGCUGUUCCUGUCGGUGGGCUUAAAGCGUGGCCGUGGCAGGUAGCUGCUAGGAUAGAAGAGGCUGCCAAAGGGGAACCGCUCCAGGGCUGGGUGUCUGCCCCGACCAGUGACACACCACCCCUGGAUUCAGUCCGCACGCUAGGGUGGGUGGUGAUGGGGCGGGAGCGAGGGUGGAAGUAAACACCGCGCUGCCACUCAUUUUUCAGAACCUUCAAUCCGCCCUGUAAUGCUGACUAUCCACUAAGUAAUCCUCAGUAGCUCCUCCACUCUUGCAAGGGGAAAGGAGGGAAGGGGGAAGUUUUUGCUGAGACCAUUCCGCUGCUGCACUGACACAAACUCGUCGAGAGAGAUUCCCGCUACGGCUAUCCUGCCGGAGAGUGCGUUCAACAGGAAAAGGUGGACGGGCAGCAGAGGCACCUGAUUAGGAAGGAUGUGAUAACUAGGAAAAACGAAAGGAAGGAUGGAAGCGCAUAAAGACUACUUCUAAUUCGUGGAGUCUGGGUGAGAAGGGACGAAACCCUCCCGGGUUAAUGACUUCCCACCCCUGUCGGGGCUGCGAUGAGCCACAGAAGACCUACGACGGGCUUUUUCUGAACCGAAAUCGGGAGUGCCCGCCCUCCCCUUUGUGAUUGGCCACCUCCUGCCCGUGCCUGGAAAUUCUCGUCACAGUAUUGGUUGAUGUGACAGUCAUUCAAGAACAGUCCGCAAACCAACUAUGACUGGGGCUCAGGCAUUUCGGGAAAUGUAGUUCUCUGUGGCGCUUCCGCAUCCAGAGGCGGUCUUACGCUUGGAACUUAUAAAAUUAUUUUAUGGUUUAAUAUUUAUUGACUUAGUACGCUCACUGGGUGCAGCGAACAACAAAACAGAUUUGAAGAUUUUCUUAAGCUAUUUCCAAGUGGCUCUGAAAUUUUUGUUUAUUAAUUUAGUUCCCUGAAACACAUUUUACUGAAUGUGAGACGUCCUGGGUACUGAAGACAAUUCUUGCUUUCAACAAGCUCACCACAGUCUAAAGAGGGCAAACCUCACAUAAAUAAGAAAUUGUAAAACAAUGUGAUGAGUUCACUGAUGGACUCAUGCACGAGGAGGACUGGUAGAGGGUACUUUAACCUGCCAAAGAAGGGCUGGAAAUGGUGAUACCACAGUUGAGUCCCGAUGAAUAGGAAUUGAUCAGAUGAAGAGGCGAGACAGGAGCGCUGGAAGGCUGGUGGGGAGGAAUUACCUGGAGAGUUUUUUAAAAAUACAAAUGCCUGCAUAGGGGGAAAUUGCAAAAGAGAUCACUUCCCCAUGGAAUUUUAUGAUCCAUCUUUUCAUCUAGGUUGAAAAUAAAUCUUUGGAUAAUUUGUCGUCAUUGGAUUAUAAACCUCUUUGGAGAAGGAACAGCUUCUUGCUGAGAGGCCUUGUGGGGUAGUGGAAAAAUCCUAGGCUCUGUUGUCUCCCAGACAUGAAUUUCAUUCCAGGCCUUGGUAGUAUGUGCAAACUUGGGCAAAUUCCUUACUUUUCUUAACAGGCGGAUUCCCCCUGUGUAAAAUGAAAUUAAUACUACUUUCUUCCUGGGGUUCUGUGAA